Molecule: ribosomal RNA, 555 nt
Filed under: uncultured bacterium
Lineage: Bacteria
Description: bacterial SSU rRNA
Rfam family: Bacterial small subunit ribosomal RNA
Source: RNAcentral
GUCCCAGCCGCCGCGGUAAUACGGGGGGGGCAAGCGUUGUUCGGAAUCACUGGGCGUAAAGGGCGCGCAGGCGGCUUGGGAAGUUUUGGGUGAAAGCCCCCGGCUCAACCGGGGAAGGUCCUGAGAAACCACCGAGCUGGAGUGCUGGAGAGGGAAGCGGAAUUCCCGGUGUAGCGGUGAAAUGCGUAGAUAUCGGGAGGAAGACCAGAGGCGAAGGCGGCUUCCUGGACAGACACUGACGCUGAGGCGCGAAAGCUAGGGGAGCAAACGGGAUUAGAUACCCCGGUAGUCCUAGCUGUAAACGAUGGGUACUUGGUGUGGGGGGUAGAUAAAGUCCCUCCGUGUUGGAGCUAACGCGUUAAGUACCCCGCCUGGGGAGUACGGCCGCAAGGCUGAAACUCAAAGGAAUUGACGGGGGCCCGCACAAGCGGUGGAGCAUGUGGUUUAAUUCGACGCAACGCGAAGAACCUUACCGGGGUUUGAACUGUCGUGGCAAACUGCAGAGAUGUGGUGUUCUUCUUUGAAGACUACGGCAGAGGUGCUGCAUGGCUGUCG